Molecule: ribosomal RNA, 120 nt
Filed under: Poteriospumella sp.
Lineage: Eukaryota; Chrysophyceae; Chromulinales; Dinobryaceae
Description: 5.8S ribosomal RNA
Rfam family: 5.8S ribosomal RNA
About the family: 5.8S ribosomal RNA (5.8S rRNA) is a component of the large subunit of the eukaryotic ribosome. It is transcribed by RNA polymerase I as part of the 45S precursor that also contains 18S and 28S rRNA. Functionally, it is thought that 5.8S rRNA may be involved in ribosome translocation.
Source: RNAcentral
UACAACUUUUAGCAACGGAUAUCUUGGCUCUUGCGACGAUGAAGAACGCAGCGAAAUGCGAUACGUAAUGCGAAUUGCAGAACGCGAGUCAUCAAAUCUUUGAACGCACCUGGCACUUCU